GAUGAACGCUGGCGGCGUGCCUAAUACAUGCAAGUCGAGCGAACGGACGAGAAGCUUGCUUCUCUGAUGUUAGCGGCGGACGGGUGAGUAACACGUGGAUAACCUACCUAUAAGACUGGGAUAACUUCGGGAAACCGGAGCUAAUACCGGAUAAUAUUUUGAACCGCAUGGUUCAAAAGUGAAAGACGGUCUUGCUGUCACUUAUAGAUGGAUCCGCGCUGCAUUAGCUAGUUGGUAAGGCAACGGCUUACCAAGGCAACGAUGCAUAGCCGACCUGAGAGGGUGAUCGGCCACACUGGAACUGAGACACGGUCCAGACUCCUACGGGAGGCAGCAGUAGGGAAUCUUCCGCAAUGGGCGAAAGCCUGACGGAGCAACGCCGCGUGAGUGAUGAAGGUCUUCGGAUCGUAAAACUCUGUUAUUAGGGAAGAACAUAUGUGUAAGUAACUGUGCACAUCUUGACGGUACCGAAUCAGAAAGCCACGGCUAACUACGU
Molecule: ribosomal RNA, 496 nt
Filed under: uncultured bacterium
Lineage: Bacteria
Description: partial 16S ribosomal RNA
Rfam family: Bacterial small subunit ribosomal RNA
Source: RNAcentral